ACCUAAUAGAUACCCGGGUAGUCCACGCCCUAAACGAUGCGAACUGGAUGUUGGGUACAUUACGGUACUCAGUGUCGAAAGCUAAACGCGUUAAGUUCGCCGCCUGGGGAGUACGGUCGCAAGACUGAAACUCAAAGGAAUUGACGGGGGCCCGGCACAAGCGGUGGAGUAUGUGGUUUAAUUACGAUGCAACGCGAAGAACCUUACCUGGCCUUGACAUCUGUCGAAUCCUGCAGAGAUGCGGGAGUGCCGCAAGGAACGACAAGACAGGUGCUGCGUGGCUGUCGUCAGCUCGUGUCGUGAGAUGUUGGGUUAAAGUCCCGCAACGAGCGCAACCCUUGUCCCUAGUUGCCAGCACAUCAUGG
RNAcentral lists this ribosomal RNA (365 nucleotides) under uncultured bacterium. Its description in RNAcentral is "bacterial SSU rRNA". It matches the Rfam family "Bacterial small subunit ribosomal RNA", at positions 772 to 1131 of the family's 1533-position model. The record is from RNAcentral.